Molecule: non-coding RNA, 161 nt
Filed under: Acinetobacter sp.
Lineage: Bacteria; Pseudomonadati; Pseudomonadota; Gammaproteobacteria; Moraxellales; Moraxellaceae
Description: FMN sequence
Rfam family: FMN riboswitch aptamer (RFN element)
About the family: The RFN element is a highly conserved domain that is found frequently in the 5'-untranslated regions of prokaryotic mRNAs that encode for flavin mononucleotide (FMN) biosynthesis and transport proteins. This element is a metabolite-dependent riboswitch that directly binds FMN in the absence of proteins. In Bacillus subtilis, the riboswitch most likely controls gene expression by causing premature transcription termination within the 5' untranslated region of the ribDEAHT operon and precluding access to the ribosome-binding site of ypaA mRNA.
Source: RNAcentral
CAUCGCUUCAGGGCGGGGUGCAAUUCCCCACCGGUGGUAAAUUAAAACUACAUUCUUGUAGGAUUUAAUCAGCCCACGAGCCUGUAAACUGGUUAAAGUUUACUCGCAGAUUUGGUGAAAAACCAAAGCCGACGGUAUAGUCCGGAUGAAAGAAGACGACG